UCGAGAAUCUUCGGCAAUGGACGCAAGUCUGACCGAGCGAUGCCGCGUGCGGGAUGAAGGCCUUCGGGUUGUAAACCGCUGUCAGUUGGGAGGAAGGCUCCGUGAAGAGCGGAGUUUGACCUAUCUUCAGAGGAAGUACGGGCUAAGUUCGUGCCAGCAGCCGCGGUAACACGAACCGUACGAACGUUAUUCGGAAUCAUUGGGCUUAAAGGGUGCGUAGGCGGCGCUGUAAGUCAGGUGUGAAAUCCCACGGCUCAACCGUGGAAUUGCGCCCGAUACUGCAGUGCUUGAGGGAGACAGAGGUAAGCGGAACUGAUGGUGGAGCGGUGAAAUGCGUUGAUAUCAUCAGGAACACCAGUGGCGAAAGCGGCUUACUGGGUCUCUUCUGACGCUGAGGCACGAAAGCUAGGGUAGCGAACGGGAUUAGAUACCCGCGUAGUCC
This 442-nucleotide ribosomal RNA is filed under the name uncultured prokaryote. RNAcentral's name for it is "bacterial SSU rRNA". It matches the Rfam family "Bacterial small subunit ribosomal RNA", at positions 355 to 796 of the family's 1533-position model. The record is from RNAcentral.